Molecule: long non-coding RNA, 403 nt
Organism: Melitaea cinxia (Glanville fritillary)
Lineage: Eukaryota; Metazoa; Arthropoda; Insecta; Lepidoptera; Nymphalidae
Exons: 3
Source: RefSeq, a predicted model, not a curated record
AAUUUUAUUACUUCACUCGACUUGUGCGCCUCGCGGGGGUAGUGCGUGCGCCGAUUCUGUGUUCACGUAGAAUAUUGACGUAAAAUAUAUGUAAAAUGAGCUAAAAAAGGAAUCUUCUUUGAAAAUCUUAGAACUUUCGUUAUCACGAGGAAUCACCCCACAGACCCUUUUGUUGACGAUGGAGAAUUUGGAUCGGAUGCUGAUUACGACUUGACGAUUGACGACGUCUAGGAACGUCAGCGCAAUAUAUUUAAAUACUAAUAUCAUCAGCUAUUUGCACAACGUCAUUAGACGUCGCUCGAAUUUAUAUGAAAAAAUGAUGUGCAAUAUCGCAUAGAGCUACAAUAUUGACUUGUUCGCGUGAAAGUGUUAAGCUAAUAAUAAUUUUAAUUAAAUAUUUAUU